GUGGGGAAUAUUGCACAAUGGAGGAAACUCUGAUGCAGCGACGCCGCGUGAGUGAAGAAGGUCUUCGGAUCGUAAAACUCUGUCCUUGGUGAAGAUAAUGACGGUAGCCAAGGAGGAAGCCCCGGCUAACUACGUGCCAGCAGCCGCGGUAAUACGUAGGGGGCUAGCGUUGUCCGGAUUUACUGGGCGUAAAGGGUGAGUAGGCGGUUGCAUAAGUCAGAUGUAAAAGGCUAAGGCUUAACCAUAGUAUGCAUUUGAAACUGUGUGACUUGAGUACAGGAGAGGUAAGCGGAAUUCCUAGUGUAGCGGUGAAAUGCGUAGAUAUUAGGAGGAACACCAGUGGCGAAGGCGGCUUACUGGACUGUAACUGACGCUGAGUCACGAAAGCGUGGGUAGCAAACAGG
This 404-nucleotide ribosomal RNA is filed under the name bacterium. RNAcentral describes it as "bacterial SSU rRNA". It matches the Rfam family "Bacterial small subunit ribosomal RNA", at positions 354 to 776 of the family's 1533-position model. The record is from RNAcentral.